This 1078-nucleotide ribosomal RNA is filed under the name uncultured Chitinivibrionia bacterium. RNAcentral's name for it is "bacterial SSU rRNA". It matches the Rfam family "Bacterial small subunit ribosomal RNA", at positions 159 to 1216 of the family's 1533-position model. The record is from RNAcentral. Lineage: Bacteria; Pseudomonadati; Fibrobacterota; Chitinivibrionia.
GGGGCUAAUACCGGAUGUGGCUAUCGGGUCGCAUGAUCUGAUAUCUAAAGGUGCUUCACGGCACUGUUUACAGAUGAGUUUGCGUCCCAUUAGUUAGUUGGUGAGGUAACGGCUCACCAAGACUUUGAUGGGUAGCCGGCCUGAGAGGGUGAACGGCCACAUUGGGACUGAGAUACGGCCCAGACUCCUACGGGAGGCAGCAGUAGGGAAUUUUGCGCAAUGGGCGAAAGCCUGACGCAGCAACGCCGCGUGAGUGAUGACGGCCUUCGGGUUGUAAAGCUCUGUUGGACGGGAAGAAAAGACGGUGUAGGAAAUGGCAUCGUUAUGACGGUACCGUUCGAGGAAGCUCCGGCUAACUACGUGCCAGCAGCCGCGGUAAUACGUAGGGAGCGAGCGUUGUUCGGAAUUACUGGGCGUAAAGGGAGCGUAGGCGGGUUUGUAAGUUAGGCGUUUAAUGCGUGGGCUUAACCCACGUUUGGCGUUUAAUACUGCAUAUCUUGAGUUAGGGAGAGGAUGAUGGAAUUCCAGGUGUAGCGGUGGAAUGCGUAGAUAUCUGGAAGAACACCAACAGCGAAGGCAGUCAUCUGGCCCUUUUACUGACGCUGAAGCUCGAAAGUCGGGGGAGCAAACAGGAUUAGAUACCCUGGUAGUCCCGACCGUAAACUAUGAACACUAGCUGCCGGGGGAGUCAAUCCUUUCGGUGGCGUAGCUAACGCAUUAAGUGUUCCGCCUGGGGAGUACGCCCGCAAGGGUGAAACUCAAAGGAAUUGACGGGGGCCCGCACAAGCGGUGGAGCAUGUGCUUUAAUUCGAUGCAACGCGAAGAACCUUACCCAGGCUUGACAUGGGGGUGUAAGUCCGUAGAAAUAUGGAACCUUCCGCAAGGAACGCCCUACACAGGUGCUGCAUGGUUGUCGUCAGCUCGUGUCGUGAGAUGUUGGGUUAAGUCCCGCAACGAGCGCAACCCUCGCCCUUAGUUGCCAUCAGGUAAAGCUGGGAACUCUAAGGGGACUGCCUAGUUUAACUAGGAGGAAGGUGGGGAUGACGUCAAAUCCUCAUGGCCCUUACGCCUGGGGCUA